CGGAAGGCAUAAUACAUGCAAGUCGAACGGGAUAGAACUUAGCAAUAGGUUCUUGAGAGUGGCGCGACGGGUGCGUAACACGUAUGCAACCUUACCUUUAACGUGGGGGAUAGCCUCUCGAAAGAGAGAUUAAUACCCCAUAGUAUAACUGAAGAGCUAUUUUUUUGGUUAUUAAAGAUUUAUCGGUUAAAGAUGGGCAUGCGGCUGAUUAGGUAGUUGGUGAGGUAAUGGCUCACCAAGCCAACGAUCAGUAGGGGGUCUGAGAGGAUGUCCCCCCACACUGGUACUGAGACACGGACCAGACUCCUACGGGAGGCAGCAGUGAGGAAUAUUGGUCAAUGGGUGCAAGCCUGAACCAGCCAUCCCGCGUGAAGGACGACUGCCCUAUGGGUUGUAAACUUCUUUUGUAUAGGGAUAAACCUACCCUCGUGAGGGUAGCUGAAGGUACUAUACGAAUAAGCACCGGCUAACUCCGUG
Molecule: ribosomal RNA, 477 nt
Filed under: uncultured bacterium
Lineage: Bacteria
Description: bacterial SSU rRNA
Rfam family: Bacterial small subunit ribosomal RNA
Source: RNAcentral